GGAAGUAAACGUCGUAACAAGGUUUCCGUAGGUGAACCUGCGGAAGGAUCAUUAUUGUAUAACCGAGGUGCGAGGGCUGUCGCUGACCCGAAAGGUCGUGCACGCCCGAGUGCCCUCACACACAUCCAUCUCACCCCUAUGUGCACCACCGCGUGGGUCCCCCUUUGGCUUGUUCGGAGGGGGGCUUACGUUUUCACACAAACUUUGUAUGCAGUGUAGAAUGUAUUUUUUGUUUUUGCGAUCACGCAAUCAAUACAACUUUCAACAACGGAUCUCUUGGCUCUC
RNAcentral lists this unclassified non-coding RNA (285 nucleotides) under plant metagenome. RNAcentral describes it as "partial contains small subunit ribosomal RNA, internal transcribed spacer 1, and 5.8S ribosomal RNA". The stretch from base 1 to 54 matches the Rfam family "Eukaryotic small subunit ribosomal RNA", at positions 1778 to 1831 of the family's 1831-position model. The record is from RNAcentral.